RNAcentral lists this transfer RNA (72 nucleotides) under Bos taurus (domestic cattle). It matches the Rfam family "tRNA". From Rfam's summary of the family: Transfer RNA (tRNA) molecules are approximately 80 nucleotides in length. The record is from Rfam by way of RNAcentral. RNAcentral also lists the same sequence under 1 other name. Lineage: Eukaryota; Metazoa; Chordata; Mammalia; Artiodactyla; Bovidae.
UCCUUGCUGGCUCAUAGGUUAAAGCAUCUGCCUGCAGUGCAGGAGGUCUGGGUUCGAUCCCUGGGUCAGGAA